CUCUGUGACUCCUACGGGAGGCAGCAGUGGGGAAUAUUGCACAAUGGGCGCAAGCCUGAUGCAGCCAUGCCGCGUGUGUGAAGAAGGCCUUCGGGUUGUAAAGCACUUUCAGUUGUGAGAAAGGUGGUGUCGUUAAUAGCGGCAUCAUUUGACGUUAGCAACAGAAGAAGCACCGGCUAACUCCGUGCCAGCAGCCGCGGUAAUACGGAGGGUGCGAGCGUUAAUCGGAAUUACUGGGCGUAAAGCGCAUGCAGGUGGUUUGUUAAGUCAGAUGUGAAAGCCCCGGGGCUCAACCUCGGAACUGCAUUUGAAACUGGCAGACUAGAGUACUGUAGAGGGGGUAGAAUUUCAGGUGUAGCGGUGAAAUGCGUAGAGAUCUGAAGGAAUACCGGUGGCGAAGGCGGCCCCCUGGACAGAUACUGACACUCAGAUGCGAAAGCGUGGGGAGCAAACAGGAUUAGAUACCCUGGUAG
This 473-nucleotide ribosomal RNA is filed under the name uncultured bacterium. RNAcentral's name for it is "bacterial SSU rRNA". It matches the Rfam family "Bacterial small subunit ribosomal RNA", at positions 328 to 793 of the family's 1533-position model. The record is from RNAcentral.